RNAcentral lists this ribosomal RNA (1357 nucleotides) under uncultured bacterium. RNAcentral's name for it is "bacterial SSU rRNA". It matches the Rfam family "Bacterial small subunit ribosomal RNA", at positions 28 to 1394 of the family's 1533-position model. The record is from RNAcentral.
GACGAACGCUGGCGGCGUGCUUAAUACAUGCAAGUCGAACGAUGAAAGCUGGAGCUUGCUCCGGCUGGAUUAGUGGCGAACGGGUGAGUAACACGUGAGUAACCUGCCCCUCUCUCUGGGAUAACCGCCGGAAACGGUGGCUAAUACCGGAUACGACCGAUGAAGGCAUCUUCUGUCGGUGGAAAGAAUUUCGGUGAGGGAUGGACUCGCGGCCUAUCAGGUAGUUGGUGAGGUAACGGCUCACCAAGCCGACGACGGGUAGCCGGCCUGAGAGGGUGACCGGCCACACUGGGACUGAGACACGGCCCAGACUCCUACGGGAGGCAGCAGUAGGGAAUAUUGCACAAUGGGCGCAAGCCUGAUGCAGCAACGCCGCGUGAGGGACGACGGCCUUCGGGUUGUAAACCUCUUUUAGUAGGGAAGAAGCGAAAGUGACGGUACCUGCAGAAAAAGCACCGGCUAACUACGUGCCAGCAGCCGCGGUAAUACGUAGGGUGCAAGCGUUGUCCGGAAUUAUUGGGCGUAAAGAGCUCGUAGGCGGUUUGUCGCGUCUGCUGUGAAAACCCGAGGCUCAACCUCGGGCCUGCAGUGGGUACGGGCAGACUAGAGUGCGGUAGGGGAGAUUGGAAUUCCUGGUGUAGCGGUGGAAUGCGCAGAUAUCAGGAGGAACACCGAUGGCGAAGGCAGAUCUCUGGGCCGUAACUGACGCUGAGGAGCGAAAGCAUGGGGAGCGAACAGGAUUAGAUACCCUGGUAGUCCAUGCCGUAAACGUUGGGAACUAGAUGUAGGGUCCAUUCCACGGAUUCUGUGUCGCAGCUAACGCAUUAAGUUCCCCGCCUGGGGAGUACGGCCGCAAGGCUAAAACUCAAAGGAAUUGACGGGGGCCCGCACAAGCGGCGGAGCAUGCGGAUUAAUUCGAUGCAACGCGAAGAACCUUACCAAGGCUUGACAUAUACCGGAAACGGCUGGAAACAGUCGCCCCGCAAGGUCGGUAUACAGGUGGUGCAUGGUUGUCGUCAGCUCGUGUCGUGAGAUGUUGGGUUAAGUCCCGCAACGAGCGCAACCCUCGUUCUUUGUUGCCAGCACGUCAUGGUGGGAACUCAAAGGAGACUGCCGGGGUCAACUCGGAGGAAGGUGGGGAUGACGUCAAAUCAUCAUGCCCCUUAUGUCUUGGGCUUCACGCAUGCUACAAUGGCCGGUACAAAGGGCUGCAAUACCGUAAGGUGGAGCGAAUCCCAAAAAGCCGGUCUCAGUUCGGAUUGAGGUCUGCAACUCGACCUCAUGAAGUCGGAGUCGCUAGUAAUCGCAGAUCAGCAACGCUGCGGUGAAUACGUUCCCGGGCCUUGUACACACCGCC